CAGGCCUAACACAUGCAAGUCGAACGAGAAAGCACCUUCGGGUGCGAGUACAGUGGCGGACGGGUGAGUAACGCGUAGGAAUCUACCUAGUAGUGGGGGACAACUCGGGGAAACUCGAGCUAAUACCGCAUACGAUCCUUUUUCUUAGGAAGGGGGAUGAAAGUGGGGGAUCUUCGGACCUCACGCUAUUAGAGGAGCCUGCGUUGGAUUAGCUUGUUGGUAGGGUAACGGCCUACCAAGGCUACGAUCCAUAGCUGGUCUGAGAGGACGAUCAGCCACACUGGAACUGAGACACGGUCCAGACUCCUACGGGAGGCAGCAGUGGGGAAUCUUGGGCAAUGGGCGCAAGCCUGACCCAGCCAUGCCGCGUGUGUGAAGAAGGCCUUCGGGUUGUAAAGCACUUUCAGCAGUGAAGAAAUAUCGGGAGUUAAUAACUCCACGGUCUUGACGUUAACUGCAGAAGAAGCACCGGCUAACUCCGUGCCAGCAGCCGCGGUAAUACGGAGGGUGCAAACGUUAAUCGGAAUUACUGGGCGUAAAGCGCGCGUAGGCGGUCUGAUAAGUGGGGUGUGAAAGCCCAGGGCUUAACCUUGGAACUGCAUUCCAAACUGUCAGGCUAGAGUAUGGUAGAGGGAGGUAGAAUUUCCUGUGUAGCGGUGAAAUGCGUAGAUAUAGGAAGGAAUACCGAUGGCGAAGGCAGCCUCCUGGACCAAUACUGACGCUGAGGUGCGAAAGCGUGGGGAGCAAACA
Molecule: ribosomal RNA, 750 nt
Filed under: uncultured bacterium
Lineage: Bacteria
Description: bacterial SSU rRNA
Rfam family: Bacterial small subunit ribosomal RNA
Source: RNAcentral